AGAGUUUGAUCAUGGCUCAGGAUGAACGCUAGCGGCAGGCCUAAUACAUGCAAGUCGAACGGUGUCUUCGGACAUAGUGGCGCACGGGUGCGUAACACGUAUGCAACCUACCUUACAUUGGGGGAUAGCCUUUCGAAAGGGAGAUUAAUACCGCAUAAGACAGUAACUAGGCAUCUAGUAGCUGUUAAAGAUUUAUCGAUGUAAGCUGGGCAUGCGUCCAAUUAGCUAGUUGGUGAGGUAACGGCUCACCAAGGCAAUGAUUGGUAGGGGAACUGAGAGGUCAAUCCCCCACACUGGCACUGAGAUACGGGCCAGACUCCUACGGGAGGCAGCAGUAGGGAAUAUUGGGCAAUGGACGCAAGUCUGACCCAGCCAUGCCGCGUGCAGGAUGAAGGCGUUAUGCGUUGUAAACUGCUUUUAUACAGGAAGAAACGACUCUUGCGAGAGGCAUUGACGGUACUGUAUGAAUAAGCACCGGCUAACUCCGUGCCAGCAGCCGCGGUAAU
This 506-nucleotide ribosomal RNA is filed under the name uncultured bacterium. Its description in RNAcentral is "bacterial SSU rRNA". It matches the Rfam family "Bacterial small subunit ribosomal RNA", at positions 8 to 524 of the family's 1533-position model. The record is from RNAcentral.